RNAcentral lists this long non-coding RNA (393 nucleotides) under Phasianus colchicus (ring-necked pheasant). Its description in RNAcentral is "lncRNA (ENSPCLG00000006943.1)". The record is from RNAcentral. Lineage: Eukaryota; Metazoa; Chordata; Aves; Galliformes; Phasianidae.
UUCUAAUUAAAAAAAAAAAAAAAAAAAACCAGGAAAAAUCCUGAACAAAAUUCAUAAACUUCUAGACACAUUGAACAGUAAGAAUAUUAAUUAAAUGGAAAAGGAAAAGUUGUAAGAUAAAAAAAAAGCUAGGUAUCUUGCCACUGGUGAAUUCCCUUUCCCUCCUUGCCCUCUGCUCCCCACACACAAACACCCUUCUCACUGCUUUCCCCAGGAGGGAGUGGAUCUUGCAACACUUCCUUGUUGUGAUUCAUUCUAUGGGGUCUGAAAGCAGCAAGCAAUGGAAAAGACCUAUUUUAGGGCAUCUCAUCUGUCACCUGGAAACAAAGUUUUCUCCACAUAUAGGUAAGUAUUAUAAAAAUAUUUUUACUAAUGCUUCUUAGGAAUUCUGGU